Molecule: non-coding RNA, 353 nt
Organism: Camelina sativa (false flax)
Lineage: Eukaryota; Viridiplantae; Streptophyta; Magnoliopsida; Brassicales; Brassicaceae
Source: RefSeq, a predicted model, not a curated record
UGUUGAUUACCACCGGUGCUCGUGAAGCUGCUUUCAGAAACAUCAAGAUAUUGUUGAGUGCCUUGCUUAUGAAUUGAUCAACGCAGCCAAGGGCUCUUCCAACAGCUAUGCCAUCAAGAAGAAGGAUGAGAUUGAAAGAGUUGCAAAGGCCAAUCGUUAAGGAUAUUCCUUUUGCCCUGAGAGUUACAAUCUUAUCAAUGAGUUCAAUGUUUUAUUUUCAUUUAGAUUGAAAUAUGUAUCUCAGAUGUUUGCUCUUCUGUGUUGUGAAGUUUAUUUCGUCUGAACUACUUUGAAUAGAUAAAUUUGUGAUGCUUUAAGCUAUUUUGCAUCAGUUUAUUGUCAGUUUUUAAACU